AGCCUAGUGGUUAAGGCUAUGGAUCGCCAAUCCGGAGACGGCGGGUUCGAUUCCCGU
This is a non-coding RNA of Aedes albopictus (Asian tiger mosquito), 57 nucleotides long. The record is from Rfam. NCBI's taxonomy places the organism in Eukaryota, Metazoa, Arthropoda, Insecta, Diptera, Culicidae.